GCCCAGAUGGCGGAAUUGGCAGACGCGACGGAUUCAAAAUCCGUUACCUUCGGGUGUGAGGGUUCGACCCCCUCUCUGGGUACCA
Molecule: transfer RNA, 85 nt
Filed under: Puniceicoccaceae bacterium MED-G30
Lineage: Bacteria; Pseudomonadati; Verrucomicrobiota; Opitutia; Puniceicoccales; Puniceicoccaceae
Also listed under: 3 other names
Description: tRNA-Leu
Rfam family: tRNA
About the family: Transfer RNA (tRNA) molecules are approximately 80 nucleotides in length. Their secondary structure includes four short double-helical elements and three loops (D, anti-codon, and T loops).
Source: RNAcentral